UGGGGAAUUUUGGACAAUGGGCGCAAGCCUGAUCCAGCAAUGCCGCGUGCAGGAUGAAGGCCUUCGGGUUGUAAACUGCUUUUGUACGGAACGAAACGGUCUUUUCUAAUACAGAAGGCUAAUGACGGUACCGUAAGAAUAAGCACCGGCUAACUACGUGCCAGCAGCCGCGGUAAUACGUAGGGUGCGAGCGUUAAUCGGAAUUACUGGGCGUAAAGCGUGCGCAGGCGGUUUGCUAAGACCGAUGUGAAAUCCCCGGGCUCAACCUGGGAACUGCAUUGGUGACUGGCAGGCUAGAGUAUGGCAGAGGGGGGUAGAAUUCCACGUGUAGCAGUGAAAUGCGUAGAUAUGCGGAGGAACACCGAUGGCGAAGGCAAUCCCCUGGGCCUGCACUGACGCUCAUGCACGAAAGCGUGGGGAGCAAACA
Molecule: ribosomal RNA, 427 nt
Filed under: uncultured bacterium
Lineage: Bacteria
Description: bacterial SSU rRNA
Rfam family: Bacterial small subunit ribosomal RNA
Source: RNAcentral